This 301-nucleotide ribosomal RNA is filed under the name uncultured bacterium. Its description in RNAcentral is "partial 16S ribosomal RNA". It matches the Rfam family "Bacterial small subunit ribosomal RNA", at positions 509 to 807 of the family's 1533-position model. The record is from RNAcentral.
CAGCCGCCACGGUAAUACAGAGGGUGCAAGCGUUAAUCGGAUUUACUGGGCGUAAAGGGCGCGUAGGUGGUUAUGUAAGUGAGAUGUGAAAUCCCCGGGCUCAACCUGGGAACUGCAUCUUAUACUGCGUAGCUGGAGUGCAGUAGAGGGUAGUGGAAUUUCCGGUGUAGCGGUGAAAUGCGUAGAUAUCGGAAGGAACACCAGUGGCGAAGGCGGCUACCUGGACUGACACUGACACUGAGGCGCGAAAGCGUGGGGAGCAAACAGGAUUAGAUACCCCUGUAGUCCCUGUCUCUUAUAC